AAAUUGAAGAGUUUGAUCAUGGCUCAGAUUGAACGCUGGCGGCAGGCCUAACACAUGCAAGUCGAACGGUAACAGGAAACAGCUUGCUGUUUCGCUGACGAGUGGCGGACGGGUGAGUAAUGUCUGGGAAACUGCCUGAUGGAGGGGGAUAACUACUGGAAACGGUAGCUAAUACCGCAUAAUGUCGCAAGACCAAAGAGGGGGACCUUCGGGCCUCUUGCCAUCGGAUGUGCCCAGAUGGGAUUAGCUAGUAGGUGGGGUAACGGCUCACCUAGGCGACGAUCCCUAGCUGGUCUGAGAGGAUGACCAGCCACACUGGAACUGAGACACGGUCCAGACUCCUACGGGAGGCAGCAGUGGGGAAUAUUGCACAAUGGGCGCAAGCCUGAUGCAGCCAUGCCGCGUGUAUGAAGAAGGCCUUCGGGUUGUAAAGUACUUUCAGCGG
This 445-nucleotide ribosomal RNA is filed under the name Escherichia coli. Its description in RNAcentral is "bacterial SSU rRNA". It matches the Rfam family "Bacterial small subunit ribosomal RNA", at positions 1 to 442 of the family's 1533-position model. The record is from RNAcentral. Lineage: Bacteria; Pseudomonadati; Pseudomonadota; Gammaproteobacteria; Enterobacterales; Enterobacteriaceae.